AACGCGAAGAACCUUACCAAGGCUUGACAUACACCAGAACACCCCAGAAAUGGGGGACUCUUUGGACACUGGUGAACAGGUGGUGCAUGGUUGUCGUCAGCUCGUGUCGUGAGAUGUUGGGUUAAGUCCCGCAACGAGCGCAACCCUCGUUCUAUGUUGCCAGCACGUUAUGGUGGGAACUCAUGGGAUACUGCCGGGGUCGACUCGGAGGAAGGUGGGGAUGACGUCAAAUCAUCAUGCCCCUUAUGUCUUGGGCUUCACGCAUGCUACAAUGGCCGGUACAAAGGGCUGCAAUACCGUGAGGUGGAGCGAAUCCCAAAAAGCCGGUCCCAGUUCGGAUUGAGGUCUGCAACUCGACCUCAUGAAGUCGGAGUCGCUAGUAAUCGCAGAUCAGCAACGCUGCGGUGAAUACGUUCCCGGGUCUUGUACACACCG
Molecule: ribosomal RNA, 435 nt
Filed under: uncultured bacterium
Lineage: Bacteria
Description: bacterial SSU rRNA
Rfam family: Bacterial small subunit ribosomal RNA
Source: RNAcentral